Molecule: small nucleolar RNA, 70 nt
Organism: Leptinotarsa decemlineata (Colorado potato beetle)
Lineage: Eukaryota; Metazoa; Arthropoda; Insecta; Coleoptera; Chrysomelidae
Product: small nucleolar RNA SNORD18
Source: RefSeq, a predicted model, not a curated record
UUUAAAUGAUGAUUUGCUUUUGGUCCGUGUUUAUGAGAUAAACUGAUUAUUUUUCAAAAGCUCUGAAUAU